UCGGAUGUGGUGCACGAAGCACAUCCGCCUUCUCUCCGGAUCAUCGGUUCAGAGUUUAGAGCGGGAAGCCUGGGUUCGACUCCCAGCGUCUGAA
Non-coding RNA from Mycena latifolia, 94 nucleotides. The record is from the annotation of a GenBank genome assembly. NCBI's taxonomy places the organism in Eukaryota, Fungi, Basidiomycota, Agaricomycetes, Agaricales, Mycenaceae.